AACGCACCUUGCGCUCCUUGGCAUUCCGAGGAGCAUGCCUGUUUGAGUGUCAUGAAAUUCUCAACUGCCUUUUAGCAUUUAUGUUAAGGUGAAGUUGGAGUUGGAGGAUAACUGCUGGCGCAACUUAGGUUGCUUGUUGGCUCCUCUUAAAUGGAUAAGCUUUUCUGAUAGAUUAUAGCUCAGUAAUAUUAAUGUGAUAAUGAUCUACAUUAUAUGUGAAAGCUAUAAGUAGAAUUUAUGGAGAAGCUCUCUAUAGAAAGGGUAUAAUAACUUGACAAAUCUGACCUCAAAUCAGGUAGGACUACCCGCUGAACUUAA
RNAcentral lists this unclassified non-coding RNA (318 nucleotides) under Ophiosphaerella sp. RNAcentral's name for it is "partial contains 5.8S ribosomal RNA, internal transcribed spacer 2, and large subunit ribosomal RNA". The stretch from base 1 to 52 matches the Rfam family "5.8S ribosomal RNA", at positions 103 to 154 of the family's 154-position model. Lineage: Eukaryota; Fungi; Ascomycota; Dothideomycetes; Pleosporales; Phaeosphaeriaceae. The record is from RNAcentral.